Molecule: long non-coding RNA, 4215 nt
Organism: Homo sapiens (human)
Lineage: Eukaryota; Metazoa; Chordata; Mammalia; Primates; Hominidae
Exons: 3
Source: RefSeq, a predicted model, not a curated record
CUUCGCGAGUUUGGAGACCAGCCGAUUUUUCACGAAGCAAGCAAAGACCGCGGUCCCGGAUCCUGCAACAUAUACCUCAUUUUCUCCAGGCCUCUCCACUUGCCCGAGCUCUCAGCCACCAGGAGACAGACGGAAGGGGCUUCUGGGCUGUGUUGGGAGCGGGCAUUGUCCCCUACCCACUCCUGCACAGUUUCCCAAAGUCCAGCCACCUCCGACCCUCCUUGGGGGAAAAAAUACCAGUACCCAGACACCUCUGCACCCUGUUAUAUGACUGGGCUUGCUUCAGGAAUAUCUUACAAAGAAGAAGGAGGAGGAGGAGGAACGGCUUGGAGUCAUGUUUACAUCUAGUUCUACUGAUCCGUUCACAUCUGGAGAGUUUAUUUAUAACUCCCUCUAUAACUCUCUGUUUGGAGGCACUGGUGGCUCUACUGACAGACUGAUGUCUAGGAAAUAUUGCUCUAUGUCUAAUGGUACCUAAAUGUGCUGUGGUUGUAUUUACAGAUUUACGUUUGAGGGAAAUAUAAUUAUUUCCAUUGUAUUUGUGCAUAUACAGUAGUUAUAGGAGCAGAUUUAUAUAUGGGAAAAUAUGCGACUCCCUUACAGCCAUCCGGCUUUAUGUACAUUUGAUAUCCUGACAGAUUUAUAUCUCUGAACAGCUAUAUAGAUAAAAACGUAUAUUGUUAGAAUUAUGUAUCAGGAGAUAUAUACUUAUUGAUUGCGAAAUAGAGUAGUUAGAGCAUUCACUUAGAGCCAUAUAUGGCUAUGGAGAUAUUUCUAUAUUAUUAUCACUGUAUAUAGGCAUAUCUAUUUAUAACUGCAUAGUUAUAAAAAUAGACAUAAGUAAUUAUAGUCCUAUAUGUGCAUGCUGCAAUCUCUCUCUAGAGUUAUAGACACUUUCAAAUAUAACUCUAUAGAGAAAUCUGUAUGUAUAUAAGGUGUAAUUAUCCAGUGAUGUGUUUACGUUGGGACUUAGGCCCAUCUGUCUAGAACAGACACAUUUAUAUGUAGGGGCUGGGAGAGACUUAUUCACAGAUAUCUGCAGAGGGCCGACUGGAAACACUGUAUCUGCCCUCUAGGAAACCAGCUAGGAGAGUUGUGUACUUAUGGAGGGAUGGAGUUACAAAAGGGUAAAUAGAGCUCAGGGAGCCUUAAGGAGGGGAGGUGAAUGGAGGGUGGGUGGGCUCGGUUUGAACAGAUAGUGGGAGGAAAGGGGUAAACACCAGCACCCACCAGAAGGCGAGAACCAGUUUUGUGAGGGGCUGGUGCAGAUGACUGUGGACAAGGAGCUUGUAAAAUGAGAAGCGGCUAACAGUCCUGCCACCUCACCCUGAGACACUCUCCACCGAGGAAGCAGCCUUCAGUUUGGCUUUUAGUGCACUGUAGGAUAGGGACUGUCGUGUCACUCCUGUAGUCCUAGAGCGUUUCUCUUGAACCUUAAUUUUUAGGUCUUAAAGAGUGGGCUUCAGAGAUAAAGAGGUUUCGGCAGGGACAGGGCGAGGAGCGUGGGGUGUACUUUCGCUUUCCAAUAAGUAAGGUAAUCCAGGAAAGUGAGUUAAUUUGGCCAAAUAAAGCUUGUUUUUAUGUGGGCCUCCUGUGCCCUGGUGGGGAUGUAGGAUGGGACCAGAAUCUGGUGGACUGAGGAGUGAAUUUCCAAGUAUUGGGCCUGCUCUGAUGGGGGCUUGGGGAGGUUGUCCUCACCACCCGCCCUCCUUCUCUGAGGCCUGAGUGGCCUAAUUCCCUCUGGGUACAGAGGGACUCCUUCAGCUCCCUAACAGUGCUGCCCUGGGUCUUUUCAGGGAGAAUUUGACUUUAGGAACAGGGAACAUGGACUUACCCCACUAGAUCUCACUUCUCCUACUCACAGCUACACCACUCUUACGUCAGCCUCCUUCCAGGCGCCACUCGGCCAGGGGUCCACAGUUCUUCCCCUGCUACCAACCAGCCCAGUGGGGAAAUACCUCCCACGACUGCCAGUUUUUGUGUUUUUGUGUGUGUGUGUGUGUUUUUUUUUUUUUUUAACCAGGAACUUACAGAUUAACUUCAUUAACUGCGUGAAGGAAUUGUCCUGAACUCAGUCUCUGUGGCCAACCUAGCCUCCAGGAUCUCUAGGAUGCUAGGAAGGGAGUGGAGACCCUUGGACCAGGCUAACCACCAUGUGCCAUCCUCCACACACCCCUGCCCACAGGACUAGGAAUUCCUGCAGUGUAGGGACUCUGUCUGCUGCCUGGCACAGAAUGGUUGCCCAAACAUACUUCUUGAGGUAAAUGGAAUGGCAGUCAAUACAAAAACUCACCCUCACUCUGCACACCACCAUAGCCACUGCUGGCUAGCAGGCACCCUAGCCAGGCUAGGAGAUAACAUGGCGGCUGGCAGCAGCUUGGGCUUUGACCGGACCGGUGGUUAGUAGGGUGGGAGAGCAUCCUGAGCCUAGGAUGGGGCGGGGACUGGAGCAAGGCACCUGGAAUCCAGAAAUUUGGGGGUAAGCCAAGGCAGACCCACCGCCCCAGUGAACUUCUGUUUUCUAUCUCCAGUCUCAUGGCUCCCUGGACCCCCAAAAGUUAUGAAAACUAAACCAGAGCUGAGAACUGGGCUAGGAUGGAAUUGCCUGUCAACCCGAGGGAUGCAAAGAGGAACCACCGUUGGGUCCAUUAAGAAAUCCACAAAUAAAAUAAAAAUAAAUCAGUGUGACACAGACCACCUGGCUGAAGGAAAGGUUUCUCUCUAUGCCUCAGCCCUGCUCCAGGGCUACCAAACAGAUCAGGCUUAAUAUUUAAAAUGUUUAAUAGUUAAAAUUUUUUAACAAUUUAACUUUAAAAAGGUCACACAUUUUCUGAUCCAGCAAUGCCCCAAUCAGAUUGUUUCAUUUUAUUAUUAUUAUCAACACUGUCCCCUUUUUGGCACCUGUAAAAUAGUUCCUUUCGGGAGUUUGGAGCCAGGCCAGGCACCGUAGGUGCAUGGGAUGAGAUGGGCAGGUUUGGAGCUCCUCUGUCUAGUGAGGAUCACGGUCUGCAGAGAAGGGUUGGCCUCCCCGUCUCCCAUCAAGGCUUAAAGCAAGGAGAACCAUCCCGAAUUUGGUUCCUUUUCCACUAAGUAUCCUUAGAGGCGAUCCACCCUGUGACUAGGUGACUAGGUGAAGGACUGAGGUCCAGAAAGGAGCUAUCUUAAACCUGGAAUCCCAUUUCCUAGUCUGCAGCCUUAAGCAGUUUCCCUCUCAGACAACUAGCCCUCUCCUUCCUCCGCAUGAAAACCCAUGGCUUACAGGGAUGGUUGUUGCUUUCCCUAAAGAAAUUCAGGAAGGGAGAUGUGAGGGUCAGUUCUCAGCGGUGGCGUUCUUUGAAGGGGACGCAGCCUGACUGCCAGGAGGGGAGGAGUCGGCCCAGCCAAUGCGCAUGCGCGAAGCACAAGCGGUUUCUCCCGUCACAGUGGUUCCCACGGUUGUCUUAGAAACCAGUCCCCGAGGCUUGGCAAAGGGGGAGACUUCCGUGGCAGUGCUUGGGUGUCAAGGCUCUGAGGCUCCGGCCUGACGACUCCACUGGGUCGAGGGGAAAGUCUCCGGAUGCCAAGAGUCACAAAGGGCCAAACAGGGUGAGGAAACCCGACGCAGAGUCCGGAGAAGGCAGCAUGGAAUCCCUCCCUCAGGCCUCUCUGGACGGUGUUGGUGGGGGUGAGUCUCCCCAAAAGUCGUGACGCGGUGAUCUCGAGGACAGGACGGCCUGCGUGCCCCUGGGGUGCUCUCUCACCGAAGGGUCGUUCUCGUCGAAAGCAGAACCCCACAGCCUCAGGGGUUGCCUGGCCUCUUUUCUAGGAUCAAGAUGAACACACUGCAGACGAGGACACGAGCCCCACAGGAGCUCUUUGUCCCGCAGGAGACCAGCGGACCCACGUCAGAGAAGAUGCUUGUAUCUUUUCAUGGCUCUUCUCUGAGAAAUGAAGCCACACCACAAUAAGGUCUGGAAGAGGAAGCCGGGAAUGGGAGAUGGCAACAGUCCCUGUCACUGGAAUGCUGGCCUCUCUGGACAAGCCACCCUUUUGGAACCCCACCCCUUAUGACCCUGGCAGUGGAACGGUGAUAUAUCCUGCCUGGCCGCCGGCGUCUGCCCUGUCCUCCCUCCUGCUCUGCCUCACCUGUUUCUCAAGUGCCUCAAUGCCUCUCGCUGACGCCCAAUGUCUUCAACAAAGAUGACUUCCCAGUCCGUCAGGGAGACAUUUCUUCGA